This 467-nucleotide ribosomal RNA is filed under the name uncultured bacterium. RNAcentral's name for it is "bacterial SSU rRNA". It matches the Rfam family "Bacterial small subunit ribosomal RNA", at positions 329 to 793 of the family's 1533-position model. The record is from RNAcentral.
UGCCAGACUCCUACGGGAGGCAGCAGCGAGGAAUAUUGGUCAAUGGCCGGAAGGCUGAACCAGCCAAGUCGCGUGAGGGAAUAAGGCCCUAUGGGUCGUAAACCUCUUUUGUCAGGGAGCAAAGGCGUCCACGAGUGGACGAAAGGAGAGUACCUGAAGAAAAAGCAUCGGCUAACUCCGUGCCAGCAGCCGCGGUAAUACGGAGGAUGCGAGCGUUAUCCGGAUUUAUUGGGUUUAAAGGGUGCGUAGGCGGAGUGUCAAGUCAGCGGUAAAAUUUCGGGGCUCAACCCCGUCGUGCCGUUGAAACUGGCUGUCUUGAGAUGUCGAGAGGUAUGCGGAAUGCGCAGUGUAGCGGUGAAAUGCUUAGAUAUUGCGCAGAACUCCGAUUGCGAAGGCAGCAUACCGGCGGCGAUCUGACGCUGAGGCACGAAAGCGUGGGUAUCGAACAGGAUUAGAUACCCUAGUAU